RNAcentral lists this ribozyme (117 nucleotides) under Aedes aegypti (yellow fever mosquito). RNAcentral describes it as "drz-agam-1 ribozyme". It matches the Rfam family "drz-agam-1 ribozyme". Lineage: Eukaryota; Metazoa; Arthropoda; Insecta; Diptera; Culicidae. The record is from Rfam by way of RNAcentral.
UGCCCAGCAACUCCUAUCCUUACCUCCUCGUGGUACUGGCCGGGGUACGAGUAACCUUAGGGAAGAUCGGGUAACCAACCCCCGGUGGAAUCUUUGGUCGUAUGCUGACAGAGAAGG